AACGAACGCUGGCGGCAUGCCUAACACAUGCAAGUCGAACGAGACCUUCGGGUCUAGUGGCGCACGGGUGCGUAACGCGUGGGAACCUGCCCUUAGGUUCGGAAUAACUCCCCGAAAGGGGUGCUAAUACCGGAUAAUGUCUUCGGACCAAAGAUUUAUCGCCUUUGGAUGGGCCCGCGUUGGAUUAGCUAAUUGGUAGGGUAAAAGCCUACCAAGGCGACGAUCCAUAGCUGGUCUGAGAGGAUGAUCAGCCACACUGGGACUGAGACACGGCCCAGACUCCUACGGGAGGCAGCAGUGGGGAAUAUUGGACGAGGGGCGAAAGCCUGAUCCAGCAAUGCCGCGUGAGUGAUGAAGGCCUUAGGGUUGUAAAGCUCUUUUACCCGGGAUGAUAAUGACAGUACCGGGAGAAUAAGCUCCGGCUAACUCCGUG
This 433-nucleotide ribosomal RNA is filed under the name uncultured bacterium. Its description in RNAcentral is "partial 16S ribosomal RNA". It matches the Rfam family "Bacterial small subunit ribosomal RNA", at positions 29 to 507 of the family's 1533-position model. The record is from RNAcentral.